AUGGAUGAGGUCACACAAGCCGUUGAAAACUUGAAAAAGGAAUGGAGCCAAGCAGUUGCACAGCUUGAGGUGUGCAUUGCUGCAAUUGAAUCUUGUGGGAAGAUGAUGGGAAAAGGAACAGAAGAAGCAAUGUCUCUUCCUAGGUUGAACGGUUCUGCACAGGAUGCACUGCAAUUGCUCAAUGCACUACAGUGCAGGUUUGAUCUUCUGGCAGAGCAGCUACCCACUUUUGAAGAAGUUCAGUCUGGACAGGCAACCCUAGGCUCAUGGAAGGAACAAUAUCAGAGGCUGCGUGUGAGCCUGAGGAGUGCUAACUUACAAGCAAAAACGAACAUUGCAAAGGCUGCUCAAGAAGAGAGGGAGCUUCUUCUCGGAGGUGGAGAAGAGUCCACUAUCCGGAGCCGUAAUCUCCAGUAA
This 417-nucleotide ribosomal RNA is filed under the name Triticum aestivum (bread wheat). RNAcentral's name for it is "partial small subunit ribosomal RNA". Lineage: Eukaryota; Viridiplantae; Streptophyta; Magnoliopsida; Poales; Poaceae. The record is from RNAcentral.